UUUAAAAAAAUAAGAAUGCAAUUCUGCCAAGCCUAACUAGAUAAUGAGAGAAGUGGGAGCUGCCCCUUUAAGAAGAGGUCCGGGCAGGGUGAGAGAGUUAUUGCAGGGGCUGGAGCCUACAGCGAGUAUGCUGCUGUUUCAGGAGAGGGCUGGCUGAUAGAUGGGUGCUGAGGGGGUCUCUGUCUGCAAGAAACUCUUAAAGCAAAAGGUUUGAAUGCCUAUCGUAGACAAAGUUUUCUCUGAAAAGCUGAGUCGUGUGCCUGACCUGCUUUCCUUCCCCAGAUUUGUGCCCUCUCCCGCCUGGAACACAGAGGCAGAUAUUCCAUUUAUAGGAACAUGAGAACGGCCAGACUGGCUCAGACCCAAGGUCCAACUAGCCCAGCGUCCUGUCUCUGACAGUGGCCAGCCCCAGCUGUCUAUGCCAGACGUUGAACAAUCUGCCUAUUAGUUCUCAUCCUAGCCCUCUCAUAGUCAGAGAUCGGUGGUUUCGUCUCCCUUCCCAGCUCUUUCUACGGGGGUGAUGCCUGUGUGGACGCAGACGAUCGCUGUUCCGGUGUCAGCCAUCCUCUAGCAACACAUAGAGAACAGCCUAUGUGGAUAAGUCCAACAGAGGAAGCCACAUCACACUCUGCAAGCGUGCUAUAACCCUAAUUGCCAGACGUUACAAGCAACAGGAAAACUGUAGUCUGGGCUGCUGCUUCAGUCCUGUAACGACUGGCCAUGGAGCAUUCUCUCCAGGGCAAGCCGUCCCGGGCCCUAGCAGUGAAGCUGUGCUGGGAAGCUGAUUAGCCUCUAGCCUCUAGCCCCAUCUCACUGCCUCCCCAUCUGUGCCAGGGGAGUGGUGUAGAGUUAACCCCCUGCUUGCCGGACGCAAGGCGGAGCCUCCACACACGCCGAUCUAGGAGGCAGAGAGCGACGGUUCCGUCUCAGAAGUGAUUAAACUAAAAAAUAAAUAAAGGUUCCCCCGAGAGCCCGGACGCACACAGGCGCCCAGUGCAAAUGCUGUUUGGGAAGGAAGCUUCCGGGAAUGUUUAUAUUACAACCAACUCCCUUCCCAGCUCCAGCGCAGCGUGAGCCUGGCCAGACACAGGAAGGGAAACAAACCCAGCUUAGCCAAGUCACUAAAGAGGACUUAAUCUUUACACCUCGCGACGCUUACAGGGUCAUCCAGGGGAUACAAGGUUCCACAGAGGGAGGUGGGCUUAGAACCCUCAUCCUCUGCCACUUACGCUACAGGAGAGCACCUGAGUAUUACAUACCUUAGCCUCUCCCUGGGCCAGGCAUUAGCCAUACUCACAGCCAGCCAGCCCACAGCCCUUCUUGGGAAUGUGCUGGAGAGGCACAAAGGGUUCUUCACAUUCUCGGCACUCGAGAAAACCCGCCAUCUCCCCCCAUGCUUUCAACUCAAUGGCAUCAGAAACGCAGCACAUUCCUCUCAGCAGCGCCGCUGAAGUUCACCCACACGCCGCGUGUAGGUGGGGUAAGUCACACACGCCAUUUGUUAACAUUCACCAGGACAGGCCAGCAGCUCGCACUAGGAGGCAAACCGAACCCCCAGUCGCUCCAGCGAGACCUCUGCUUAGAAAUCCUGUUACCUGUUUAUAGACAGACAGGAUGAAACUCAACCCCCUCCCGGGUGCUUGGCUUUAAGAGCGGGAAAGGAAGAAAACCCAGCAUGCGGCUCUCCUAGUGCCCCUUCCCCAGGGCCCCUCUGCACUGCUCACCCAGCUCCCGGAGCAAACACAGCUUUUGGAGUUAAAGCAGAAACGACCAAAAGAGCCAAAUUUUCCCCUUGGAGUUAGUCACACGUGCCCAGCCCCUACUCAAGUCAGAGGAGCUCCGUGUGUGUCUGUAAUAAUCAUACCUUAUCUAGCGUUUUCAUCAGCAGAUCUCAAAACACUUUAUGCAGAGAUCACUAUCAUUAUUCCCAUUUGACAGAUGAGGAAACUGAAGCAGAGAGGUGAAGCGACUUCCCCAAGGUCCCAGGAGAGCAGAGCCAAGAACAGAACUCUGCUCCCCUGAGUCCUAGUCUUGUGCUCUAGCCACUAGCCACACUAUGCACUACUGCCCCACCACAGGGUCAAACCCCUGAUCUUCAACACUGCAGCACAGACCUCUACCGUUUCAGCUAAAGGAGGGACUUCACUAGCUGGCAGCAGUAGUAGGCUGUUAUCUUCUCUGUGGCCCAGCCACCAGAGGGAGGCAUAGCAUAUGUUUAAGCAGCAUAUUACACAGACAUUCAUCUGAAGGCAGAAGCUGACCUAAAGUUAUUAGCUACAUCAGCAAAAGUACAGACCACUACAGAGAGAAAGAAAUUGGCAGUACUGUACAACCAGAAUGGCCCAACUGAACUCUACGCCAGUGGCUCUCAACCUUUCCAGACGAAUGUCCCCCUUUCCAGAGUCUGAUUUGUCUUGCGUACCCCAAGUUUCA
Chrysemys picta bellii (western painted turtle) is the source of this 2433-nucleotide non-coding RNA. The record is from RefSeq and is a predicted model, not a curated record. NCBI's taxonomy places the organism in Eukaryota, Metazoa, Chordata, Testudines, Emydidae.